GAUGGACGCUGGCGGCGUGCCUAAUACAUGCAAGUCGAGCGAACAGACGAGGAGCUUGCUCCUCUGACGUUAGCGGCGGACGGGUGAGUAACACGUGGAUAACCUACCUAUAAGACUGGGAUAACUUCGGGAAACCGGAGCUAAUACCGGAUAAUAUAUUGAACCGCAUGGUUCAAUAGUGAAAGACGGUUUUGCUGUCACUUAUAGAUGGAUCCGCGCCGCAUUAGCUAGUUGGUAAGGUAACGGCUUACCAAGGCAACGAUGCGUAGCCGACCUGAGAGGGUGAUCGGCGAAACGGGAAAUGAGACACGGUCCAGACUCCUACGGGAGGCAGCAGUAGGGAAGCUUACGAAAUGGGCGAAAGCCUAACGGAGCAACGCCGCGUGAGUGAUGAAGGUCUUCGGAUCGUAAAACUCUGUUAUUAGGGAAGAACAAAUGUGUAAGUAACUAUGCACGUCUGGACGGUACCUAAUCAGAAAGCCACGGCUAACUACGUG
RNAcentral lists this ribosomal RNA (497 nucleotides) under uncultured bacterium. Its description in RNAcentral is "partial 16S ribosomal RNA". It matches the Rfam family "Bacterial small subunit ribosomal RNA", at positions 28 to 507 of the family's 1533-position model. The record is from RNAcentral.